This 233-nucleotide long non-coding RNA is filed under the name Nicotiana benthamiana. RNAcentral describes it as "long non-coding RNA (NBEN_LNC022031)". The record is from RNAcentral. Lineage: Eukaryota; Viridiplantae; Streptophyta; Magnoliopsida; Solanales; Solanaceae.
UUCACCCCACAACCAAUCCCCAAGUCAACAAUUCUCCCAUAACAACCCAACACCACCUUCAUCGACACAUGCAUCCCCAACGACUUACUCCCAACUCAAGAAUCACACCUCCCACUCUUCACAUAUACCCAAAUUCGAAAUAAAGGGCUUGUGGCUUUCAAUCACCAUCUCAUAAGCCCCAACAAAAAAUCAUACUCAUAGAUUCAUUAUAGAACAUUGCAUGUGAGCUAAGG